ACACACAACAUUUUAAAAACAUUUUUUAAAUGUCAUAUGGACGUCUCUCACAAAAUAUUUCAAUAAGAUAUCAUUUAAACAUAAAAAAAAUGUUUAUUUUAUUGUUUUUGAAAUGUUUUAUUUCUAACAUUUAAGUAAAAUGUUUUUACAACAUUAACAAAAUAUUAUUUGCUAAUAUCUUUUAUUCAUGUUCUCAAACAUUGUUCUAAAAUAUCCCGUAGAUAUUUUAUAAUAUAAAAAAAUAAUAUUUUCUUCAAUUGGUAUUUUAUAUUUUAACAACAUUUAAAGUAAAUAUUUUCCAAAUAUCCAAAAAACAUUCUGCAAAAAAAUGUUUUACAGAAAAUAUAGUUUUGCUAUUUGCAUAAAAUGUUUUAUAACGUAAAAUUAAAAUGUUUUACAUAAAACAUCUGAAAAAUAUCAGCUAAAUGUUUUCUAUAAAAUAUUCUGACAUACACAUUACUUAAUAGUCUUACUGAUAUUUUAUUCAACAUUUUACGGAUAUAAAAAUAACAUUUUAUUUAAACUUUAUUCAAAACCCCACACACAACGUUUUGUGGAAUUAGCUCGUUUUUUUCAGGAUAAGAUAUAGUACUACAUUUCAUCAAUAUCAUGACAAGCAAGAUACUAUGGUUGAAAUCCUUAAUUGAUAUCUUGAAGAUCCUUGAAGUCAGAUUGUAUUCCUUCUUAUAUUAAAAUUCAAAAGAGUCAACAUUAAAUUACGCAAUAAUGUAUUAAUAAACAAUCACCUUUUUUGUUUAAUGUUUAUUCAUUUCGUUCGUGUAUAUUUUAGAAAUUAAGAAAUGAAAACUGUAACUGUACUAAGUUCAAUUUUCGUAUCGUUUAAAUGUCUUACGGAAAACCGACCUUUUCCGGAAUCGACUUUUGUUUUAUCACCGGAAAUGAUUUUGAAAUUUGAAUUUCGAAACGAAGACAGGAUGUCAACAAAGAGAGACAAGAAAAUUGUUUGUUACGCGAUAUAUACUCACUUGGUAAGAAUGAUUAAUCUGUUAAGAUGAACUUGUGCAUUCAUCGUGUGUGUUCAAUCAUAAUCGGAACCAAAUUACAUCUGUUUCUGGAGGUGCGGAUCAAGGUUUUGAAAAAAGGGGGCCCCCUGCCCAAGGCAAGCAAACGUUUGGAGUGAUACUUGCAAAUAGUCUAUACAUUUAUCUUAUAAGUAGCUCCAUAAGGGGGUCGGGGCCCCUAAAUCCGCCACUGUUCAAGCAUCUACGUACACCAAUUAUGAAUUUGUUCAUUGAUAUAAAAAAAUUAUAAGGAUAUGUGGCUUGUGUGUUUGAUUGCCAAUACACCUUAUCGCUAUUUGUCCGCCAUUACUGGCCAUGGACAUCACAAAAGUUCCCAUAAAAUGUUGACGUCAUAUUAGAAAAUAUUUGACACCACAAUUGAAAGUAAUACACCUUAUCGCUAUUUGUCCGCCAUUACUGCACAUCACACAACUGUCACAAGUUUCCUUAAAAUUUUGACGUCAUCAUAAAAAAUAUCUGAUGCCACAAUGGAAAAGUGAUUGUUGUUUGACGUCAAAAGUUCAAGCAGGAUAGAUUCUCGGAUCAAGCGGGAAUAGCGAUAAGGUGUAUUAUUGUAUGACGUAUGCUGACGUAAAAAGUUCAAGCGGGACAGAUUUCCAAAUACUGAAAUAGCGAUAAGGUGUAUGAGACAGCUAUCCACCAGAAUUUAAAUGACUUGGAUAAAAGAAAUUAUAGGUCACUGUACAGCUUUCAAAACUGAGAAAACCAAUGCCAUAUAGUCCACUUUGAAGCCUUGACAAACAAAUGUUAAACUUUUCUCAACACAAUUGAAACAAAACAACUAACUGCCUACAUUAAAUACACAUUAUGAAAAAAAUUGACAGACUUAAACCAACAACAACUAUUGCAAUAAGCAUGACUCAAUACCUUGUUUCCGAGGCACACAAACAAGUUACAAUAACACUAAUAUAAGCACCAUUUGAAUAUGGAGAUUUUUUUUUCUAGUAAAAUCAGUGUAUGUAUGUAUUUGCAAAACAGUAAAUUAAAUUUCCCUUAACAGCUUAAUGAACAUUACAAAGACUAUGUAAGACUUCAGUACAAGCAAGAUAAUAUAAACUGUUGCUUAAAAUUAUAUUUAUUGCUUCAUACACACAAUGUACAUACAAUGUAUCUUUUAUUUUUUAACAGGAGCUAAAAGAAAAGCCACAAAGGACAAGUUCAAUAUGCAGGUUUACAAUUUGGAAGUGGCGCAGGUUCUUUGGAAUGUCUACAACCUUUCAGGAGAAUUUUUUUUUUAAAAGCAUGGCACAGCAAGAAAAAGAUAUAAGACACUACAAGACAUUCCAAGUGAUUUUGAAUAAGACAAUUGAUUGACUUUUUCAAUGUAUUCUUAAAUAAAUCAAAUAGUUGAUGUAAAA
Long non-coding RNA from Mytilus californianus (California mussel), 2401 nucleotides. RefSeq lists it as uncharacterized. NCBI's taxonomy places the organism in Eukaryota, Metazoa, Mollusca, Bivalvia, Mytilida, Mytilidae. The transcript is spliced from 2 exons. The record is from RefSeq and is a predicted model, not a curated record.